ACAAAGUCCCAAAUAUUACACAUUAAUGGAUCUCAAAAGUUGGAUGCAAUUUUUUUUUAAAUUGAUUGGAAAAAAAAUUGGAAAAGGAAAUUAAAAUGAAAAAUAAAAUAAAAAUAUUAAUAAAUGCAAAAAUGAUUUUUAAAAUUAUGGAAAAAAUGUAUACGAUGAAAAAUAUUUUUAGAGAUAUUGUACAAAAAAAUUGGGAUAAAAAAUGUUUAAAUAUG
Molecule: long non-coding RNA, 224 nt
Filed under: Lathyrus oleraceus (garden pea)
Lineage: Eukaryota; Viridiplantae; Streptophyta; Magnoliopsida; Fabales; Fabaceae
Description: Pisum sativum (pea) long non-coding RNA (PSAT_LNC042234)
Source: RNAcentral